RNAcentral lists this long non-coding RNA (1500 nucleotides) under Homo sapiens (human). RNAcentral describes it as "HSALNT0127558". The record is from RNAcentral. Lineage: Eukaryota; Metazoa; Chordata; Mammalia; Primates; Hominidae.
GUUUGAAUUUGGGAGCUACUUCCUUACCUCCUAGACUUAUUCCAAACAAAUAUGAAAUUACACUUUAAGGACAGGGUGAAGUUGAGAAGGUUGUCCCUCUGCAGGGAGGGGCCGUAUAUUUUGUGUAAGUCUCACAAGAUUGGUCAAGGUAACUUAAGAACAGAGACUGGAAGAUGCAACAUGCAGCUAUGAAGACAGACUUGUGGAACAGUUAAGUUGAGCACUCAUGAGAGACUCUGAGAAUGACUCCUCAAAUAUUCUGAAGAUACAUAAGUCCUAUCUGCCACACAGGACAGAGUGACUGAAUAACUAGAAUGUUUUAGAUCCCUGUGAAUCAGUAUUGAAUGUGGUGCCAGAAUAUAAAAAUAAACAAAGAAGUUACAAUAUAGUGACAUGGGAGCAGGGAAAUAUAACAAACAAACAAACACGUAAUUAAGUAACUUGAACAAUGAGUAGUUGUAUGGUAGAGGUAUAAUACAUAAAAUACCUUAAGAACACAGAGGUGGUAGGGCUGAAUUAUACCUGGAAGACUUCAAAACAGAGUUGGCUUUUUAAAGCAGGGUUUUGAAAGUUGAAGUGAUAAAGAGAAAACUGAGGCAAGAGGCCAGUUCUUCUGGGUAUCAAAAAUAAAUACAUAUUCUUGGACUGGCAUGAUGUAUUCAGGAAGUGAUGGGUAGUCCAGUGCAAGCAGUAUACAGCCAACAAAUCAGAGGUGACCUAACUGAAAAUAAAGGGAGCAGAGUGCUGGGAAAUGGUGGCUUUAAAAAGCAUAUAUUAUGAGUAUAUAUGGGAAUGAUCCCACCUCAUUCUUCUACUGAACAGGAAGAAACAGGAUGCUUUAUCUAGAAUUCCAGUAUGACUCCAAAUCUGAAAUCCGCAUCAGUGAUGGAAACAAUGAGUAGAUUUCCCAGGGACCUGAAUAUUAAAGAUUUCACUUUUAGACUCUGCAAUGUAGUAAGUUAGCAAAUAAUUAUAAAAACAGAAUUCAAAAUGUACAAAUUGGACUCAUCUACAUGACAAUACCCAAUUAUAAAUCCAAAUAAACUAGCAGCCAGCAAUCAAAAUAACAAAUGUCCAGAUUUUUCUUUAUUGAUUUUUCUAGUAAAAUGACCAUAUAUUUUGGUAGUUCAUAUGGUUUGGCUGUGUGUCCCCAUCCAAAUCUCAUCGUGUAGUUCCCAUAAUUCCCAUGUGUUGUGGGAGGGACCCAGUGGGAGGUGACUGAUUCAUGGGGGUGGGUCUUUCCCAUGUUGUUCUUGUGAUAGUGAAUGGGUCUCAAUAGAGCUGAUGGUUUUAAAAACAGGAGGUUCUCUGCACACGCUCUCUCUUUGCCUGCUGCCAUCCUCAUACAAUGUGACUUGCUCCUCCUUGCCUUCCGCCAUGAUUGUGAGGCCACCCCAGCCAUGUGGAACUGUAAGUCCAAUAAACCUCUUUCUUCUGUAAAUUGCCCAGGCUCAAAUAUGCUUUCUGUGAAAAUGGAAAAAUACUGUAAUACAAAGAGAG